UUCGCCCUUAGAGUUUGAUCCUGGCUCAGGACGAACGCUGGCGGCGUGCUUAACACAUGCAAGUCGAACGAGAAUCUGUGGAUCGAGGAUUCGUCCAAGUGAAGCAGAGGACAGUGGCGGACGGGUGAGUAACGCGUGAGGAACCUGCCUUUCAGAGGGGGACAACAGUUGGAAACGACUGCUAAUACCGCAUGAUACGUAUUGGGGGCAUCCCUGAGACGUCAAAGAUUUAUCGCUGAAAGAUGGGCUCGCGGCCGAUUAGGUAGUUGGUGAGAUAACAGCCCACCAAGCCGACGAUCGGUAGCCGGACUGAGAGGUUGAUCGGCCACAUUGGGACUGAGACACGGCCCAGACUCCUACGGGAGGCAGCAGUGGGGGAUAUUGCACAAUGGGGGAAACCCUGAUGCAGCGACGCCGCGUGAGGGAAGACGGUUUUCGGAUUGUAAACCUCUGUCUUUGGGGGCGAAAAAAUGACGGUACCCAAGGAGGAAGCCACGGCUAACUACGUGCCAGCAGCCGCGGUAAUACGAAGGUGGCAAGCGUUGUCCGGAAUUACUGGGUGUAAAGGGAGCGUAGGCGGGGAGACCAGUUGAAAUUGUUUAAAACUAUCGGCUUAACUGAUAGACGCGUUCCAAAACUAUCACUCUUGAGUGCAGUAGAGGUAGGCGGAAUUCCUAGUGUAGCGGUGAAAUGCGUAGAUAUUAGGAGGAACCCCAUUGGUGAAUGGGGCCUACUGGUCUGUAACCUGACUCUUAGGCUCAAAAGCGUGGGAACCAAACAGGAUUAGAUACCCCUGGUAGUCCCACGCCGUAAACGAUGAUUACUAGGUGUGGGGGGGACUGACCCUUUCCCGUGCGGGAGUUAACACAAUAAGUAAUCCCACCUGGGGAGUACGCCCGCAAGGUUGAACUCAAAAGGAAUUGACGGGGGCCCGCACAAGCAGUGGAGUAUGUGGUUUAAUUCGAAGCAACGCGAAGACCCUUACCAGGCCUUGACAUCCCGGUGACCGACCCGUAAUGGGGUCUUCUCUACGGAGCACUGGAGACAGGUGGUGCAUGGUUGUCGUCAGCUCGUGUCGUGAGAUGUUGGGUUAAGUCCCGCAACGAGCGCAACCCCUAUGUUCAGUAGCCAGCAUUUAGGAUGGGCACUCUGGACAGACUGCCGGGGAUAACCCGGAGGAAGGCGGGGAUGACGUCAAAUCAUCAUGCCCCUUACGGCCUGGGCUACACACGUGCUACAAUGGCGUAAACAAAGGGAAGCGAGAGGGUGACCUGGAGCGAAUCCCAUAAAUAACGUCCCAGUUCGGACUGUAGUCUGCAACCCGACUACACGAAGCUGGAAUCGCUAGUAAUCGCGAAUCAGCAUGUCGCGGUGAAUACGUUCCCGGGUCUUGCACACACCGCCCGUCA
Molecule: ribosomal RNA, 1409 nt
Filed under: uncultured bacterium
Lineage: Bacteria
Description: 16S ribosomal RNA
Rfam family: Bacterial small subunit ribosomal RNA
Source: RNAcentral